Molecule: long non-coding RNA, 819 nt
Organism: Beta vulgaris subsp. vulgaris (sugar beet)
Lineage: Eukaryota; Viridiplantae; Streptophyta; Magnoliopsida; Caryophyllales; Amaranthaceae
Exons: 2
Source: RefSeq, a predicted model, not a curated record
UUUAAAUGACACUCCUCUCACCAGUUAGAUCCCUAACUUCUCUCAAACCCUAACUUCAUCUCUCUCUCUCUCACCUACCGUCAUCUCUCUCUCUCUCUCACCCACCUUACCUUCGUCUCUCUCUCACCCACCUUCAUCUCAUCAACGAAAUCUCCGGCAUUCAUCUUCGGAUCUGAAAUUCAUCUUCGUAUUUUCGGAUCUCCGGCAUACAAGUCGACGAGUUCUUCGUGUUUUCGGAUCUUCAACAUUUGCGUCCGGCCCAAAACGAAGUUCAUCUCUCUCUCUUCCUCUCCCUCUCUUUCACUCGCCGAAAUUCAUCUUCGAAACUCGACGAGUUCGUUUCAGUUCGCCGAAAAUGAAUGGAGUUGAAUUUUGAUUUCGCCGACAAGUUCGUUUCAUCUUGGAAACUCGACGAGUUCGUUUCAUCUUCGAAACUCGACGAGUUCGUUUCAGUUCGCCGACAAGUUCGUCUCUCUCUUUCAGUUUGCUUCAGUUCGCUGAAACUCGACGAGUUCGUUACAGAUCAGGGGAGCGAGUUGUGAAGAUCUGGUUUUUCUCGAAGUCUUGUAGUUGCGUUUGAGGUGAAGAUCUGGAUUGCUAUGAAGAUUGCGUUUGAGUUUUGUAUUUUUAUUUUUAAUUUAUCUCCCCUUCAUCUUCUUCUUUUUUCUAUUUUUGAUUUAGUUUCUUGAUUGUUCUGUUCUCUCCGUUUGUUAUUUUUUUGUAUAUUUUAGUUUUAGAUCUGAUGUUAGUAGUAAUGGUGAUAUUUUUUUCUUGUAAUUUUUUCAAUUAAAAUUAUAUAAAACCAUGUAACUUCUAGUA